RNAcentral lists this transfer RNA (64 nucleotides) under Lamiinae sp. 4 ACP-2013. RNAcentral describes it as "tRNA-Leu". It matches the Rfam family "tRNA". Rfam says of the family: Transfer RNA (tRNA) molecules are approximately 80 nucleotides in length. The record is from RNAcentral. Lineage: Eukaryota; Metazoa; Arthropoda; Insecta; Coleoptera; Cerambycidae.
AUUAUUUUGGCAGAAUAGUGCGAUUGAUUUAGAAUCAUUAUAUGUAAUACUUUUACAAAUAAUA